RNAcentral lists this long non-coding RNA (359 nucleotides) under Homo sapiens (human). Its description in RNAcentral is "SMIM14 divergent transcript, transcript variant 10 (SMIM14-DT)". Lineage: Eukaryota; Metazoa; Chordata; Mammalia; Primates; Hominidae. The record is from RNAcentral.
GAGGACUGUGAAGCAAUCGGGGCGAGGCCGGGUGUCUGUUCAACUCUCCCGCGUAUCGUCUGUUUCUUCGGCGGCGGACAGUGUUCUGUAAUGUGUCUCCCGUUGCCCGAGCUAAAGGAAGGCAGUCUCCACACCACUGUGCUCGAACAGCUCUAUGAAGAGGCCUAUGUGGAGAGGAGAAAAAGCCUCCACCAACAGCCAGCACCAACUUGCCAGCCAUAUAUGAACUCUCGCUAUGUUGCCUCGGCUGGUCUCAAACUCCUGGGCUCAAGUGAUCCUCCCACUUCGGCCUCCCAAAGUCAGUAAAUAUAGUUUUUAAAUUGUUGGUAAAAUAAAAUAAAAACAUAUUCAAAUUUUAA